Acipenser ruthenus (sterlet) is the source of this 3560-nucleotide RNA transcript. It is a transcript of the gene named receptor (G protein-coupled) activity modifying protein 2, with no coding region annotated. The record is from RefSeq and is a predicted model, not a curated record. The transcript is spliced from 9 exons. Lineage: Eukaryota; Metazoa; Chordata; Actinopteri; Acipenseriformes; Acipenseridae.
ACUGUAUUUCCUGUUCAUAACCUCAAAGUCUGAGGUGGUAUCUAAUCUAACAUCUUGCAAUCAGUAAAGCACAAGGAUUAAGAAAACAAACACACAAACAAAAUAGAAUGUUGGCGUUGGCUCUGUCACAAUAGGGGGCGGUAGCCUUUUGUUCUUUGAAUAGAAAUUAUUUAAGGAGAGCCAUAUAUAUUAACGACUUCCCAAAUCUUAACCUUAGAUACUCAUUCAGCGCUUGCCUGGACAAGGUUAACAUUCCCAUAAUGACCAGAUUGAUGCAGAUGUUAUUUCCACUGCUGCUGUGGGGCUGGGGAAAACAAACCCUGGGGAAUACAGAAGAUGAAGAUGAAUUUCAAAAUCAGGAGAUGUACAACAUCUUUAAAUGCAAUGAGACUCUACUGUUAGAUUACAUUACCUACUGCUGGGUUCCCUUUCAUGGAGAAAUAGCAAUGCAAAAGGAGAACUGGUGUAACUGGACUAAAGUCACCCGGUACUACAGUGAGAUGUCAGAAUGCGCGGAGUACGUGUCAGAGUUUACAGGCUGCUACUUUCCCAACAUGAUCGUGGAGAAUUUCUUUGUGCAAAUCCACUCUCAGUACUUCUCAAACUGCACCACAGAGGAGGCCGUGUACGCUGACCCACAAGGCGAGCUGGUUCUGGUGCUCACCAUCACCCCAGUCUGCAUCAUCCCCAUUCUGGUGUCUCUCGUCAUCUGGAAAAGCAAAGUCAAAGAAUAAAAGCCGGGAAGCUGGGACACUUUUUUUUGUUGUUUAGAUUAGUUCACUGGCUGGCUUCUCUACCUCCGCUUAUUAAAUUGAAAAUGGUCCUUCAAUUGUGUAACUUACAGAAUCAAAGUUACGAAGUUACACUGUAUGAGCAUUUAAAAAAAUAAAAAAUAAAAACACAUCCGAAUUUGCGUUUGGUACCAGUUAUUAUCACAUCCUCACCCACAGCGUAAUUAAGUAUCUGAAAAUAGGAAAAAUCUGAAUGACCCAAGUUACUAAUAUUUCUCUCUCCUAUUAAUUUGUGCCAGGAAAAAAAAAAAAAAGAACUUAGAUUUCGAACUGAAAUGACAAACAAACAAACAAACAAACAUAAUUACUGUAUUUCCUGUUCAUAACCUCAAAGUCUGAGGUGGUAUCUAAUCUAACAUCUUGCAAUCAGUAAAGCACAAGGAUUAAGAAAACAAACACACAAACAAAAUAGAAUGUUGGCGUUGGCUCUGUCACAAUAGGGGGCGGUAGCCUUUUGUUCUUUGAAUAGAAAUGAUUUAAGGAGAGCCAUAUAUAUUAACGACUUCCCAAAUCUUAACCUUAGAUACUCAUUCAGCGCUUGCCUGGACAAGGUUAACAUUCCCAUAAUGACCAGAUUGAUGCAGAUGUUAUUUCCACUGCUGCUGUGGGGCUGGGGAAAACAAACCCUGGGGAAUACAGAAGACGAAGAUGAAUUUCAAAAUCAGGAGAUGUACAACAUCUUUAAAUGCAAUGAGACUCUACUGUUAGAUUACAUUACCUACUGCUGGGUUCCCUUUCAUGGAGAAAUAGCAAUGCAAAAGGAGAACUGGUGUAACUGGACUAAAGUCACCCGGUACUACAGUGAGAUGUCAGAAUGCGCGGAGUACGUGUCAGAGUUUACAGGCUGCUACUUUCCCAACAUGAUCGUGGAGAAUUUCUUUGUGCAAAUCCACUCUCAGUACUUCUCAAACUGCACCACAGAGGAGGCCGUGUACGCUGACCCACAAGGCGAGCUGGUUCUGGUGCUCACCAUCACCCCAGUCUGCAUCAUCCCCAUUCUGGUGUCUCUCGUCAUCUGGAAAAGCAAAGUCAAAGAAUAAAAGCCGGGAAGCUGGGACACUUUUUUUUGUUGUUUAGAUUAGUUCACUGGCUGGCUUCUCUACCUCCGCUUAUUAAAUUGAAAAUGGUCCUUCAAUUGUGUAACUUACAGAAUCAAAGUUACGAGGUUACACUGUAUGAGCAUUUAAAAAAACAAACAAAAAAAAAAAAAACACGAUGCUCACCCUGUGAGUUAUUGUCACACCCGCUACAAAUUAAAAAAGCAAUGGCGUAGUGGUUAGGGCUCUGGACUCUUGACCGGAGGGUCGUGGGUUCAAUCCCUGGUAGGGGACACUGCUGCUGUACUCUUGAGCAAGGUACUUUUACCUAGAUUGCUCCAGUAAAAACCCAACUGUAUAAAUGGGUAAUUGUAUGUAAAAAUAAUGUGAUUUCUUGUAACAAUUGUCAGUUGCCCUGGAUAAGGGCGUCUGCUAAGAAAUAAAUAAUAAUAAUUAACCAGUUUCACUUUAACAGCAUUGUCACACCUGUGUUCCCUUUACUAACACACACCUGCCUUAACAGGCAGCUUAUUAUGUUGUCUGUUUGUACUGUAUUGUAUUUCCAGGGCAGUGUGGGUGAUCUAAACGUAUAUAGCACAAUUGAACCAGAUUUCAAAAUACAAACAACUCUGAGCUCCAAACACUAUUACUGUACCAAAGCCAGCUAUUGCUAUUGUCUCUACAGAUUUCACCAUGAAACCGCAUAUGAAUUCACUGAGGCUAAGCCUGUUAUCCUUGGUGUAAACUGUUUUCUAUUUAUUUUCCAGAUCCGCAUGUAUGUAAUCAUUGUAUUUUACUUGCAAAUUGGGAGUUGAUUCAAUACAAACAUACAGCACCCCCAAAAAUGCUAUUCUAUGCUGCUAUUCAACAUAAACAAAAAGAACUACACAACUGUGUUUAUUCAAUUAACUAUUAUUUUGAAACACAUCUAUACCACUCCUCCUGAAAGUUUGAUUGAAUUAUUAUUUAUUUCUUAGCAGAAGCCCUUAUCCAGGGCGACUUACAAUUAUUACAAGAUAAAACAUUAUUUUUACAUACAAUUACCCAUUUAUACAGUAGGGUUUUUAUUGGAGCAAUCUAGAUAAAGUACCUUGCUCAAGGGUACAGCAGCAGUGUCCCCCACCUGGGAUUGAACCCACAACCCUCCAGUCAAGAGUCCAGAGCCCUAACCACUACUCCACAGAAUGUUUCCAUAAACUAAAGAAAUUGAUCAAAUCUAUUCAUAAAUGGUUUAAAAAAAAUUAACAGAUUAGGCAGAUUUGGUAAUUCAUAAGUAAUAAUAAAUGCAUACUUACUGUAUAUGGCUGGUUUCACAGACCCUGAUUAUCUCUAAUUGUGAACUACCUAAAUUAACAUUAGUGCUAAUGGGGUUCUGUGAAAGCAGCCAGUGAUAAAUGGGCUAAUUCAAUUAGAUACAUUGAAAUGCAAACAUUAGAGCAGUAGGGUUAGCUUUUUGAGAGAGGGAGGGGUGACAUGCAGCUUAAACCACCCAUCACAGGAAAUAGGAAUGUCCUGUUAUUGAAAAAAAAGAAGAAAAAGAUUUUCUGUAACAAAGGUUUAGACUUAUCUAGUUCACCAGAGGGACAGGAAUUAAAACAACCUUUAAAAUGAGGACCAUGUGCACGGCUUUAAGUCUUUUGUUAAUUCUGCUAUUGGGGAAUGGUGGGCAAGCCUAUAGAAACUCAACAGUUGAAGAUAAUAAUGGAACACUCUUAGAACAGACAACACAAGG